GCAUCAUCUGCCAAUGAUGUGAUAAUCUCAGAAAGAAUCCAGUUCUCUGUAGCUAGAUCUACACUGUAUUCAUCUCAAUGUUGGCUCUGCAAGCUGAGCAGUUUUAUCACUUAUGGAUCUGAAAGCAGUGCCAAAAGCCAGUGAAUUACCGACUGAGAUUUCAGAAUAUUGCAAAAAGUGAAACCAAGAUUCAAGCAAGGCUAUUCAGAAUCUUUCUGUAGGAACUCUGACUACUGAGUACAAGCAAACAAAAAGCAACUGUAGGUAGAAACGAUAAGUUCUGAGUUAAUAUAAGCAGGAGAAGGAUUCAAUCCACUGUUGCUGGCUUUUAUGCCAGAGGAGUCUGUGAGCCAGGGAUCGUGGGCAGUUUCCAGUAACUCGAACAGGACCAGCCAUCAGUCAACAAGGAAACAGAAAUCUCGAUUCAUGGAAUUUGUGGCACUGAAUUCUGCCAACACCCUGAAUGAGCCUAGAAGUGUUUUCUCCCCAGAUCCUCCAGAUAAGGCCUGCUGACAACUUGAUUUGGCCUCAUGUAACCCAGAUAGAGAAAAUGGGUAAGCCCAUCCAGGCCUCGAACCUAAAGCACUGUGAGAUAACACAUUUGUGGCAUUUUAAGUUACUAAAUUUGUAAU
This is a non-coding RNA of Ictidomys tridecemlineatus (thirteen-lined ground squirrel), 632 nucleotides long. Lineage: Eukaryota; Metazoa; Chordata; Mammalia; Rodentia; Sciuridae. The record is from RefSeq and is a predicted model, not a curated record.